GACGAACGCUGGCGGCGUGCUUAACACAUGCCAGUCGAACGGAAAGGCCCUGCUUUUGUGGGGUGCUCGAGUGGCGAACGGGCGAGUAACACGUGAGUAACCUGCCCUUGACUUUGGGAUAACUUCAGGAAACUGGGGCUAAUACCGGAUAGGAGCUCCUGCUGCAUGGUGGGGGUUGGAAAGUUUCGGCGGUUGGGGAUGGACUCGCGGCUUAUCAGCUUGUUGGUGGGGUAGUGCCUUACCAAGGCUUUGACGGGUAGCCGGCCUGAGAGGGUGACCGGCCACAUUGGGACUGAGAUACGGCCCAGACUCCUACGGGAGGCAGCAGUGGGGAAUAUUGCACAAUGGGCGGAAGCCUGAUGCAGCAACGCCGCGUGCGGGAUGACGGCCUUCGGGUUGUAAACCGCUUUCGCCUGUGACGAAGCGUGAGUGACGGUAAUGGGUAAAGAAGCACCGGCUAACUACGUG
RNAcentral lists this ribosomal RNA (468 nucleotides) under uncultured bacterium. Its description in RNAcentral is "partial 16S ribosomal RNA". It matches the Rfam family "Bacterial small subunit ribosomal RNA", at positions 28 to 507 of the family's 1533-position model. The record is from RNAcentral.